This 1492-nucleotide long non-coding RNA is filed under the name Fukomys damarensis (Damara mole-rat). Its description in RNAcentral is "lncRNA (ENSFDAG00000023866.1)". The record is from RNAcentral. Lineage: Eukaryota; Metazoa; Chordata; Mammalia; Rodentia; Bathyergidae.
AUCCCUUGUCAGUCUCCUUGGAAUUCCUCUGGGCCUUUGGCACAUGGCAGUGUUUCAGUCCAGAAUCCCCCAGCUCUGGAGGAUUUCUGCUGGGGUCCCAGGCCCCUGCUGUUCCCCUGUUCCCACGCAACAUUUAAAUCAGGCAGUAGGGGCCAUGGCUGUCCUUUCUCCCUGGUAAAUUGAGAUAUUUCUGUGGAUGCAGUACUUUCAGGCUAGCUCUCCCACACCCCCGGAUACUGCAGAUGCCACCAGUCAACAGCUCUUCCAGCGUCUUCCCCGCUCAUCACGACUGCCAGAGAGAGCAGUUUACUUUAUGUUAUGAAAGGAGGGCUGUCAUUCUCACAAUCUGGGAAAGGAAACGGGCUUAGGUCAAAUAGUUUAUCUAAGGCUCUCCUGCCCAUCGAUGACCAGACUGAUGGCUUGGACCCCAAGCUGUACUCCGUGCACCCACCAGAGAAUUCGGACAGGAGUUAUGGCCUCGUAUUCGGAUCAGAAACCCAGAGCUGGCCAUUGAUUUUUAGAUGAGAGUGAAAGAAGAACAAAAUGAGAAAAGGAAGGGGCAGGGAGACAGACGAGAGACAUGAGACACACUACGAAGUAACGAUGCCCGAUGGUAUGAGCGAGGGAAAAUGUCAGCAGGGGCCCUGUGUUCACCUCAAAGCACUGAAGAAAAUGAAGUCCAGCUGGCUAUGUGAAAAGGAGACAAACAGGGCCGGGGAAGUAGCUCAGUGGUUCCACCGCCUGCCUCACAAGUACAGGGUCCUGAGUUCGAUCCUGGUACCAAAAAAAGAGAGAGAGCGCAAGAGACAUACAUUGAUGCAUUGCAGAGACAACAAAGGCUCCGGGUGCAAGACAGAAAAUAGGAAGGGAACGGCCCCGGCAGCCAGCGCGCUCUGAACUUGCUGGCUGGAAUGUCCUCUUUCCAGAGACGGCCUGUCUGAUCUACUGAUGGAAUUUGAGAAAUGUGACAUCCUCGUGUGGGUUUGAUCUCGCUGAUGAAGACAGUAAAUAUCUUAUUGUGGCUGGGAAGCUCAGGGUGGAAAACUUCUCUGGGGCCAUUUGAAGGAGGCCUGGGAUGCUGCUGCUGACAGAAAGGCCAAGCCUGUGAGGCUUCUCCCCGGCGGACUGCCUCCUUCUGCCCUGAGUAGCAUGUUUGCUCGGCUCGCUUCCACCAGGGGACAGGAAAGUGUCCAUGUGCAGCUAUGAAGAAAGGGUACUUCGCUGCAGGUCACCGCGUGUUGACUUCCAGCUUUCAGGUGUUUUGUAGACAGCCAGAUGUAAACGUUGCUCUUGAGAUGCGUUCGUGGAGUUGCUCUCGAUGCCUGUCGCCCACGCAUAGCCUCAAGGCUGUUAUUACAGACAGCUCUUGGUCCAGCCGCGGCUCUGUGUGGAGGCACGUGCUCAGGACACAGGACGGCCACGCAGUUUCCCACUCCCUGGGGAAUGGCUUAGGGAGCCUCAGUGUUUCCCACAGGGCUCGACCAGAAUCACA